This 745-nucleotide ribosomal RNA is filed under the name uncultured alpha proteobacterium kpc47rc. Its description in RNAcentral is "bacterial SSU rRNA". It matches the Rfam family "Bacterial small subunit ribosomal RNA", at positions 753 to 1500 of the family's 1533-position model. The record is from RNAcentral. Lineage: Bacteria; Pseudomonadati; Pseudomonadota; Alphaproteobacteria.
CGGAAAGCGUGGGGAGCAACAGAUUAAAUUACCCUGGUAGUCCACCCCGUAAACAAUGUGUGCUAAACGUCGGGGGUUUCGCCUUCGGUGUCGCAGCUAACGCAUUAAGCACACCGCUUGGGAGUACGGUCGCAAGAUUAAAACUCAAAGAAUUGACGGGGGCCGCACAACCGGUGGAGCAUGUGGUUUAAUUCGACGCAACGCGCAGAACCUUACCAGCCCUUGACAUGGGAAGUUUGGUUUCCAGAGAUGGAAUCCUUCAGUUCGGCUGGCUUCCACACAGGUGCUGCAUGGCUGUCGUCAGCUCGUGUCGUGAAGAUGUUGGGUUAAGUCCCGCAACGAGCGCAACCCCUGCCCUUAGUUGCCAUCGGUUCGGCCGGGCACUCUAGGGGAACCGCCGGUGACAAGCCGGAGGAAGGCGGGGAUGACGUCAAGUCCUCAUGGCCCUUACGGGCUGGGCUACACACGUGCUACAAUGGCGGUGACAGUGGGUUGCGACCUCGCGAGAGUGAGCUAAUCCCCAAAAACCGUCUCAGUUCGGAUUGUUCUCUGCAACUCGAGAGCAUGAAGUUGGAAUCGCUAGUAAUCGUGGAUCAGCAUGCCACGGUGAAUACGUUCCCGGGCCUUGUACACACCGCCCGUCACACCAUGGGAGUUGGUUUUACCCGAAGCCGGUGCGCUAACCGCAAGGAGGCAGCCGACCACGGUGAGGUCAGCGACUGGGGUGAAGUCGUAACAAGGAAUC